GGAGAUAUAGCUCAAUGCUUCAGCAUUUGUCUGGCAUGCAAGAAGCCCUGGGUUCAACUCCAGCACCGCCU
This 71-nucleotide transfer RNA is filed under the name Cricetulus griseus (Chinese hamster). It matches the Rfam family "tRNA". Rfam says of the family: Transfer RNA (tRNA) molecules are approximately 80 nucleotides in length. Their secondary structure includes four short double-helical elements and three loops (D, anti-codon, and T loops). Lineage: Eukaryota; Metazoa; Chordata; Mammalia; Rodentia; Cricetidae. The record is from Rfam by way of RNAcentral.